GGGAAAGUGGCUCAGUGGUAGAGUGUUUGCCUUGCAAGCAUGAGGCCCUGGGUUCAAUUCCUCAGCACCA
This 70-nucleotide transfer RNA is filed under the name Dipodomys ordii (Ord's kangaroo rat). It matches the Rfam family "tRNA". Rfam says of the family: Transfer RNA (tRNA) molecules are approximately 80 nucleotides in length. Their secondary structure includes four short double-helical elements and three loops (D, anti-codon, and T loops). Further hydrogen bonds mediate the characteristic L-shaped molecular structure. tRNAs have two regions of fundamental functional importance: the anti-codon, which is responsible for specific mRNA codon recognition, and the 3' end, to which the tRNAs corresponding amino acid is attached (by aminoacyl-tRNA synthetases). tRNAs cope with the degeneracy of the genetic code in two manners: having more than one tRNA (with a specific anti-codon) for a particular amino acid; and 'wobble' base-pairing, i.e. permitting non-standard base-pairing at the 3rd anti-codon position. Lineage: Eukaryota; Metazoa; Chordata; Mammalia; Rodentia; Heteromyidae. The record is from Rfam by way of RNAcentral.